Long non-coding RNA from Rhododendron vialii, 711 nucleotides. RefSeq lists it as uncharacterized. The record is from RefSeq and is a predicted model, not a curated record. Lineage: Eukaryota; Viridiplantae; Streptophyta; Magnoliopsida; Ericales; Ericaceae. The transcript is spliced from 2 exons.
AUAGCAUUCAUUAGAGUAUCUAAUAGCGUUCCACCAAAAUUACUCCACUUUACUUGGCGCCCUAUCCCACACCCCCUUGCUGAAAAUUUAAAAUUUUCCUCUGAAAAUAGAGGCGCAAUCUUCUUCUUCGUCAACGUUGAAACCCUAGAAACCGAUUCAGUUCUUUCGUUGUAUCAAAAAUGGCAAGUUUCGAUCAAGCUUCUCUUGGCGACGCCAAACAAGGUCUCUCUCUUUCUUUCUCUCUGAAAUUUGUCUCCCCCUUUCCCCCUUUCUCCCACUCUCCUCCUUCUCCUUUGUUUGUGUGUGGGUGUGUGUCAUGACAUAGGAAAAUGAGGAUGCAUGUAAGCACCACUAGUCUCCACCAUUUGCGAGCGAGAAGUUUCGAGAAAUCAAGCUCAAUUUCCGAGAACCCACGAGUAGCAACAACACAUGAUAGACACGACAACCUGGCAACUGGAUGGCUUCAUAUUUUACCGUUUUGGGAUUUGCAUUAUCUGAAAAGUGUUGAUACUGUAUGAGUAAGGUCUGCUUCAUUUUUAUCUCUUUAAUGGGUUUUAAAAUUUAGAACUCAUUUUGUUAGCUAUAUGAGCAAUGGGUGUUUAUUAUUGGGUGUUUAGUACUAGUUCAUGUUAAUCCUUUGAAAGGUAAAUUGCAUUCUUGUGUGUGCAACUUAACUCUGUGGACUUAGAGAAAACCGUGGUAGAAAAUGAU